GCCUCUUGUUCCGGCUCCUCUUGAGCCCCUCGAUGUAUCGCUGCAGCUGCUUGGUCAGGAAGUGGUUCCGGCCGAUCUCCGAUCGGUAACCUGGAGGGCAGAACCCAACUCAGGGCAGCUCGAUGGGGUGUGUGCUUCAAGAUAUUAAGCGAUGACACUGAGGAAGACUCUUCUGAAAGAAGAGAAAAAAGGGAUCAGUCAUUUGCAGACUGCUGAGACUUCCCUGGAGCAGAGGAGAUGUAUGGCAAUAGAAACUGAGGCCCUGGCCAUCCCCCUGCCCUCUGGGCGCCCACAGCCCGGUGAAGCCACACUGACCGUUGUCGGUCUUGGAAUCGUCCUCCUCUAAAGGGCCUCCCAGGGAGCUGCCGCGGCGCACCUCCAGCUCCAACAAGAGGUGC
Molecule: non-coding RNA, 398 nt
Organism: Kogia breviceps (pygmy sperm whale)
Lineage: Eukaryota; Metazoa; Chordata; Mammalia; Artiodactyla; Physeteridae
Source: RefSeq, a predicted model, not a curated record